RNAcentral lists this ribosomal RNA (468 nucleotides) under uncultured bacterium. Its description in RNAcentral is "partial 16S ribosomal RNA". It matches the Rfam family "Bacterial small subunit ribosomal RNA", at positions 28 to 507 of the family's 1533-position model. The record is from RNAcentral.
GACGAACGCUGGCGGCGUGCUUAACACAUGCAAGUCGAACGGAAAGGCCCUGCUUUUGUGGGGUGCUCGAGUGGCGAACGGGUGAGUAACACGUGAGUAACCUGCCCUUGACUUUGGGAUAACUUCAGGAAACUGGGGCUAAUACCGGAUAGGAGCUCCUGCUGCAUGGUGGGGGUUGGAAAGUUUCGGCGGUUGGGGAUGGACUCGCGGCUUAUCAGCUUGUUGGUGGGGUAGUGGCUUACCAAGGCUUUGACGGGUAGCCGGCCUGAGAGGGUGAACGGCCACAUGGGGACUGAGAGACGGACCAGACGCCUACGGGAGGCAGCAGUGGGGAAUAUUGCACAAUGGGCGGAAGCCAGAUGCAGCAACGCCGCGUGCGGGAUGACGGCCUUCGGGUUGUAAACCGCUUUCGCCUGUGACGAAGCGUGAGUGACGGUAAUGGGUAAAGAAGCACCGGCUAACUACGUG